RNAcentral lists this ribosomal RNA (2996 nucleotides) under bacterium. RNAcentral's name for it is "23S ribosomal RNA". It matches the Rfam family "Bacterial large subunit ribosomal RNA". The record is from RNAcentral.
GAUUAAGCUACUAAGAGCACAUGGUGGAUGCCUUGGCGCCAGAAAGCGAUGAAGGACGUGAUAAGCUGCGUUAAGCCUCGGAGAGCUGCAAAUAAGCUUUGACCCGGGGAUUUCCGAAUGGGGCAACCCACUGCGGGUAAACCUGCAGUAUCCUGGACUGAAUACAUAGGUCCAUGGAGGCGAACGGGGGGAACUGAAACAUCUAAGUACCCCCAGGAAGAGAAAGUAACAACGAUUUCCUGAGUAGCGGCGAGCGAACGGGAAACAGCCUAAACCGCCAGCAUGUUAAAGCUGCCGAGCGUUGUGCGGGCGGGGUCGCGGGACCCACACGGGAGGAUCGGCGAUCUCCCAAGGAGUUACAAAAUUCAUGGCUAGUUGAACGACCUGGAAUGGUCGGCCAUAGAGGGUGAAAGCCCCGUAAGCGAAAGCGAUGAAUCUCCUGUGGUGUUCCCAAGUACGGCGGGACACGAGAAAUCCUGCUGGAAUCUGGGAGGACCAUCUCCUAAGGCUAAAUACUCUCUGGCGACCGAUAGUGAACCAGUACCGUGAGGGAAAGGUGAAAAGCACCCCGGAAGGGGAGUGAAACAGUACCUGAAACCGUGUGCCUACAAUCAGUCGGAGGCUGCUUCGGCGGCUGACGGCGUACCUUUUGUAUAAUGAGCCUGUGAGUUAUCAUACGCGGCGUAGGUUAAGUGCCUCUGGCACGGAGCCGUAGCGAAAGCGAGUCUGAAAUGGGCGUCAAGUUGCGCGCGGCAGACCCGAAGCCGGGUGAUCUAGCCAUGACCAGGAGGAAGCGCAUGUAACAGUGCGUGGAAGUCCGAACCGCAGUGGGUUGAAAACCGCUCGGAUGAGUUGUGGCUAGGGGUGAAAGGCCAAUCAAACCCGGAGAUAGCUGGUUCUCCCCGAAAUAGGUUUUGGCCUAGCCUCGUGUAUGUUUACCGGAGGUAGAGCACUGAAUGGGUUAGGGGCCCUACAAGGUUUACCGACCCCAAUCAAACUCCGAAUGCCGGAUAAAUUUAGCACGGGAGUCAGUCGACGAGAGAUAAGUUUCGUCGGCGAAAGGGAAACAGCCCAGACCAACAGCUAAGGUCCCCAAAUCUGGACUAAGUGGUUGAAGGAUGUUGGAUUGCCCAGACAGCUAGGAGGUUGGCUUAGAAGCAGCCAUCCUUUAAAGAAAGCGUAAUAGCUCACUAGUUAAGUGGUCCAGCGCCGAAAAUGAUCGGGACUAAGUCCGGUACCGAAGCUAUGGGCUCGCGCUUGCGCGAGCGGUAGGGGAGCAUUCCGUAGGUGGUUGAAGCGGCCUCGCGAGGGACCGUGGACACAUCGGAAGGGCAUAUGCAGGCAUGAGUAGCGAUAAAGCAGGCGAGAAACCUGCUCACCGAAAACCUAAGGUUUCCUGAGGAAGGCUAAUCCGCUCAGGGUCAGUCGGUCCCUAAGUUGAGGCCGAAAGGCGUAGACGAUGGGAAUCCGGUUAAUAUUCCGGAACCUGGUUGAUUUCGUUUGUACGAUGGGGUGACGCAGUAGUGAAAGGACGGCCAGCGGAUGGAAGUGCAGGUCCAAACCCGUAGAGGUGGAGCUUAGGUAAAUCCGGGCUCCUUAUACCUCGAGAGGUGAUGGGGAAACGAGCCUUCGGGCGAGCCAACCGUCCCUAAGCCGACUGCCAAGAAAAACCUCUAAGGAGAGAUCAGCCAGACCGUACCGUAAACCGACGCAGGUAGGUGAGGAGAGAAUCCUAAGGUGCUCGAGAGAACCCUUGUAAAGGAACUAGGCAAAAUUGCCCCGUAACUUCGGGAGAAGGGGCGCCAUGAGUAGGUGAAGCCGUUCGCCGGUGGAGCCGAAAGUGGCCGCAGUGAAAAGGCCUGAGCGACUGUUUACUAAAAACACAGGUCUCUGCAAAGUCGUAAGACGACGUAUAGGGACUGACACCUGCCCGGUGCCGAUCUGUUAAGAGGAGGGGUUAGCCGCAAGGCGAAGCUCUGAAUCGAAGCCUCGGUAAACGGCGGCCGUAACUAUAACGGUCCUAAGGUAGCGAAAUUCCUUGUCGGGUAAGUUCCGACCUGCACGAAUGGUGUAACGACUCGGGCGCUGUCUCUACAAGGGACUCGGCGAAAUUGAAUUGGCGGUGAAAAUGCCGCCUACCCGCAGUUAGAAGGAAAGACCCCGUGCACCUUUACUACAACUUCGCAUUGGCAUUAGGCAGUUUUUGUGUAGGAUAGGUGGGAGGCUGUGAGGCCGGCACGCCAGUGUCGGUGGAGCCAACCUUGAAAUACCACCCUGGAACUGUUUGGUGUCUAACCCGAUUCCGUUAUCCGGGUCGGGGACAGUGCGUGGUGGGUAGUUUGACUGGGGCGGUCGCCUCCCAAAGAGUAACGGAGGCGCGCAAUGGUUCCCUCAGAGCGUAUGGAAAUCGCUCGUCGAGUGCAAUGGCAGAAGGGAGCUUUACUGCGAGACCUACAAGUCGAGCAGUUGCGAAAGCAGGUCAUAGUGAUCCGGUGGUCCCGUAUGGAAGGGCCAUCGCUCAACGGAUAAAAGGUACGCCGGGGAUAACAGGCUGAUCUCCCCCAAGAGUCCACAUCGACGGGGAGGUUUGGCACCUCGAUGUCGGCUCAUCGCAUCCUGGGGCUGGAGAAGGUCCCAAGGGUUUGGCUGUUCGCCAAUUAAAGCGGUACGCGAGCUGGGUUUAGAACGUCGUGAGACAGUUCGGUCCCUAUCUGCUGUGGGCGUAGGAGAUUUGAGGGAAGCUGUCCUUAGUACGAGAGGACCGGGAUGGACGUGCCUCUAGUGCACCAGUUGUCGCGCCAGCGGCAUAGCUGGGUAGCUAUGCACGGACGGGAUAAACGCUGAAAGCAUAUAAGCGUGAAGCCCCUCCCAAGAUAAGAUCUCCCGGGCGAAAGCCCCUGAAGGCUCCAGGUAGACCACCUGGUUGAUAGGCUGCAGGUGUACGUGCAGUGAUGCAUUCAGCCGAGCAGUACUAAUAAGCCGUGAGGCUUAAUCAU